GGGGGGCAGUUUGCCUCUGACUGGAGAGCUGGAGCUGUGCCCGUGCCCAGGCUGUGGGACGUGGUUGUUGUUUGGUGGUAGGACCGAGGAGGAGCCCUGCGUCCCGAGGCGCGGAGGAGCGUGGCUCUCCAGAGCUAAUGGCAGCAAAACGCUUCACGUGGAGGGGAAAUUGCAAUCGUGUGCCUUCCCAGCAGACGUGAGUGCAGCAGUUGCAAUAAAGCUCCGUGUGCUGCUUGUGUUCCUCCGAUCAUCCGAGCAAGAGGCAGACCGCACGGGGAUGGAGAAAUAGGUUAACGGCUUCCAUGUGUUGUAGGGUUAUGGUCUGGAGGUGGAUGGGGACCCAGAGAAUGGGCUUUCUGUCAGCUCUAAAUCACAAGCUAGCAGGGAGGAUUGCUUCAGCAGGAGCGAAAUUGAGCUCUGCAUGGUUAUUGCGGUAAAAACAUCCCUUCCAUUAAAGCCAGAUGCCUCCUCAAACAAACCAGUGGGGAGAAAAUGGGAUGUAACAUCCCCUUGGAGCAGCAGGAGAGCGGUGAGAGGCAGCAGCUCGAGCCCCAGCUGGGACAGCCACCUGCAGCCCAGCGCCUCCACGCUGUGCUCAUGCCCUUAGAGGCACGCAGGCAUUAGGGCCGUGUUUGAGCAGCACGGGGAAGGGGUUUCACCCAGCCCCAGGUGAGCAGAAGCAGCAAGCGGGUGGGCAAUGGGGGGCACAGGACUGGGGGCAGCAGCACUGGGGUGUAGCUCUGCCUCUGCUGGGCUUGCCCAAAUGGUUUCAUUUAUCUGCCUCUCGUUUCCACCCCGUGUAAAACCCGAGGACGCGGAGACUCCACGAGACACGGGGAAAAUGAAUUAUUAUUUGCAAAGGGCUGCAGGUGCUUUGGGUGAAAGAGAAUGUUGUAAUUGCAAAGCAAUGCUAUUAAGUGGCAAAUUGGAUGAAACCUUUCACUAAAUUAACUGUGUUUCAAAACGCUGCAUUUGCAAAGGCUGUUCCUUUGUAAAAUGAAUCCACUUUUUCAUGUUUCUUGCUUUAAUCCUAGUUCUUAAAGAAGAUUUACAGUCUCAUCAAGUCCUGAGAGUCAAUGUUAAAUUAUUGUAAUUUAUUCCACAUUAUGUUACGUUAUUUUUUGCCACAUAUGGUAUGUUACAUUAAUUUAGCUAAUGUAUGCUAAUUUUGUGCUAAAUUUAUGUCAUGAGUCUCAGAUAGUAUGGAGAUUGAUGCCUUAGAAAUUAAUGUAAUAAUAGUAAUAAUUAAUAGUAAUAAUAUGAAAACUUUGGUUUUGCUGUGUUGGAACACCUGAAUACUCAAGCAGAGUUUAUUGCAGCUUUGUCGCGUGCUACCCCAGCUACUCGGAGAGAAAAGAAAGAGAUCUUGUCUCUUCUUUAUAGGGUCGUAUAUCAGUCCCAUAAAACACAAUCCCAAUUCUUGAUAGCCCCAUUGCAGCAAAAAUUGUUAGUCUCUGUGGCAUAGGACCUCUGAGCACCGUAAUCUUUUAUGCCUGUAAACUCCACAACAGCUGGACGUUAAAUCUCUGGAUUAAUUCAACAAGUUUCCCCCUGCCCAGUGACAGGAGGCUUCUUUCCCUGGAGCACGGUGUGCAACGGCAGGGCAGGGAUCUGCCUCGCUUGCCGCAUUGCCAGAGCCUUGCUUCUCAGCUUGCCACCAGAUUCAGCUUUUGCUGAUUA
Molecule: non-coding RNA, 1680 nt
Organism: Anas platyrhynchos (mallard)
Lineage: Eukaryota; Metazoa; Chordata; Aves; Anseriformes; Anatidae
Source: RefSeq, a predicted model, not a curated record